Perognathus longimembris pacificus (Pacific pocket mouse) is the source of this 151-nucleotide long non-coding RNA. RefSeq lists it as uncharacterized. NCBI's taxonomy places the organism in Eukaryota, Metazoa, Chordata, Mammalia, Rodentia, Heteromyidae. The transcript is spliced from 3 exons. The record is from RefSeq and is a predicted model, not a curated record.
GUCCUUUCGUUUGGGUAGAGUUAGGAUUAGUGCUUUGUGUCUCAAACGCUCUCUCCUGCCCUAUGGGUUUCCCACGAAAACGUUUACGAUCGUUGCUUUCUGUGUCAAAACCGUUUACAAACUGAGAAUUGGUGAACUGGUGGCUGGGGGC